ACAUCCAUCGUAUAAGGGUUAGUAUACAUGCUUUCCACGCUUGGGAUAGGGGUUCGAGUCCCCUUGGAUGUA
Molecule: non-coding RNA, 72 nt
Organism: Apiotrichum porosum
Lineage: Eukaryota; Fungi; Basidiomycota; Tremellomycetes; Trichosporonales; Trichosporonaceae
Source: the annotation of a RefSeq genome assembly